This 480-nucleotide ribosomal RNA is filed under the name uncultured bacterium. RNAcentral's name for it is "partial 16S ribosomal RNA". It matches the Rfam family "Bacterial small subunit ribosomal RNA", at positions 28 to 507 of the family's 1533-position model. The record is from RNAcentral.
GACGAACGCUGGCGGCGUGCUUAACACAUGCAAGUCGAACGAUGAAGCAAAGAAUUGAAGCUUCGGCAGAAAUCCACUUCGGAUUAGUGGCAGACGGGUGAGUAACGCGUGAGCAACCUACCCCUUACAAAGGGAUAGCCUCGGGAAACCGGGAUUAAUACCAUAUAACAUUGCGACGAAGCAUUUCGAUGCAACCAAAGCUACGGCGGUAAGGGAUGGGCUCGCGUCGCAUUAACCAGAUGGCGAGGUAACGGCUCACCAUAGUAACGAUGGGUAACCGGGAAGAGAGGGUGAGCAGUCACACUGGAGCUGAGACACGGUCCAGACUCCUACGGGAGGCGGCAGUGGGGGAUAUAGCACAAUGGAGUGAACUCUGAUGCAGCGACGCCGCGUGAGUGAUGAAAGGAGUCAUGUCGUAAAGCGCUAUUCUAUGGGAAGAAAAGGACUGUACCAAAGGAGAAAGCCCCGGCUAACUACGUG